CCAAGAUGAGCUGCCUAACCCUUACUGAGAGCAAACUGCAGUACACAAUGCACGUUAAUGAUCCUACAUACAUCUCCAUAUAUCGCACCCCCCACCUAUGAUAGAGUGUGUUAUUCCCACCAACGCUGAUAUAUAGCUCUUUAAAUCCAAAGCCUAGCUCUAGGGGCAUGUUCCCCCAGUGUACACCCACAACCACCAGUGUACUG
Pelobates cultripes (western spadefoot toad) is the source of this 206-nucleotide non-coding RNA. Lineage: Eukaryota; Metazoa; Chordata; Amphibia; Anura; Pelobatidae. The record is from the annotation of a GenBank genome assembly.